GUAGGUGAACCUGCGGAAGGAUCAUUAACGAGACCCUGCCCCUUGCGGGCAGAUCUCCCACCCUUUGUGAACCGAACCUCUGUUGCUUUGGCAGGCCCGUCCUCCGACCGCCGGCCCCGGCCGGCCAGCGCCUGCCAGAGGAUCCAAAACUCAGCGUCAUGUUGUGUCUGAUCAUAUACGAAAUUGUUAAAACUUUCAACAACGGAUCUCUUGGUUCUCGCAUCGAUGAAGAACGCAGCAUCUGACUGAC
This 250-nucleotide unclassified non-coding RNA is filed under the name plant metagenome. RNAcentral's name for it is "partial contains small subunit ribosomal RNA, internal transcribed spacer 1, and 5.8S ribosomal RNA". The record is from RNAcentral.